UGGGGAAUCAUGGUCAAUGGGCGAAAGCCUGAACCUGCGACGCCGCGUGAGUGCUGAAGGUCGUAAGAUCGUAAAACUCUUUUCAGGGAUCUUAAAGUACAACCGUCAACAACGGCUGUGUGUGACUCUCCCUGGAAGAAGCCCCAGCCAACUACGUGCCAGCAGCUGCUGUAAUACGUAGGGGGAGAGCGCUAUUCGGAAUUACUGGUUGUAAAGGGUAUGUAGGCGGCCCUUCAAGUCGCGGGUCAAAGUGCAG
RNAcentral lists this ribosomal RNA (256 nucleotides) under uncultured prokaryote. RNAcentral describes it as "partial 16S ribosomal RNA". It matches the Rfam family "Bacterial small subunit ribosomal RNA", at positions 355 to 605 of the family's 1533-position model. The record is from RNAcentral.